AGGAUUAUAGUUUAUUAAAAACAUUUGAUUUGCACUCAAAAAAUAUUGAAAUUCAAUUUAUCUU
Molecule: transfer RNA, 64 nt
Filed under: Chitoria chrysolora
Lineage: Eukaryota; Metazoa; Arthropoda; Insecta; Lepidoptera; Nymphalidae
Also listed under: 1 other name
Description: tRNA-Ala
Rfam family: tRNA
About the family: Transfer RNA (tRNA) molecules are approximately 80 nucleotides in length.
Source: RNAcentral